Molecule: ribosomal RNA, 255 nt
Filed under: uncultured bacterium
Lineage: Bacteria
Description: partial 16S ribosomal RNA
Rfam family: Bacterial small subunit ribosomal RNA
Source: RNAcentral
UACGUAGGGUGCAAGCGUUGUCCGGAAUUAUUGGGCGUAAAGAGCUCGUAGGCGGUUUUGUCGCGUCUGCUGUGAAAACCCGAGGCUCAACCUCGGGCCUGCAGUGGGUACGGGCAGACUAGAGUGCGGUAGGGGAGAAUGGAAUUCCUGGUGUAGCGGUGGAAUGCGCAGAUAUCAGGAGGAACACCGGUGGCGAAGGCGGGUCUCUGGGCCGAUACUGACGUGAGGAGCGAAAAGCGUGGGGGAGCGAACAGG